CCUACGGGCGACAGCAGUGAGGAAUAUUGGUCAAUGGUCGGGAGACUGAACCAGCCAAGCCGCGUGAGGGAGGAAGGUACAGAGUAUCGUAAACCUCUUUUGUCAGGGAACAAAGGCGGGGACGUGUCCCCGGCUGAGUGUACCUGACGAAAAAGCAUCGGCUAACUCCGUGCCAGCAGCCGCGGUAAUACGGAGGAUGCGAGCGUUAUCCGGAUUUAUUGGGUUUAAAGGGUGCGCAGGCGGUCUGUUAAGUCAGCGGUCAAAGCCCGGGGCUCAACCCGGGCCCGCCGUUGAAACUGGCAGUCUCGAGUGGGAGAGAAGUAUGCGGAAUGCGCGGUGUAGCGGUGAAAUGCAUAGAUAUCGCGCAGAACUCCGAUUGCGAAGGCAGCAUGCCGGCUCCACACUGACGCUGAGGCACGAAAGCGUGGGUAUCGAACAGGAUUAGAUACCCGUGUAGUC
This 459-nucleotide ribosomal RNA is filed under the name uncultured bacterium. RNAcentral's name for it is "partial 16S ribosomal RNA". It matches the Rfam family "Bacterial small subunit ribosomal RNA", at positions 338 to 795 of the family's 1533-position model. The record is from RNAcentral.